Molecule: long non-coding RNA, 447 nt
Filed under: Chrysolophus pictus (golden pheasant)
Lineage: Eukaryota; Metazoa; Chordata; Aves; Galliformes; Phasianidae
Description: lncRNA (ENSCPIG00010013912.1)
Source: RNAcentral
UCCAGGCAAGAGCUGAGGGAUGUUUCUUGAUCACAUGGAACUUCUCUUUGCAGAUCCGACCUUCAUGUCAGCCUGUACCCGGCACAGAUAAUCUCUCCCAAGAGAAAUGCUAAACUGAAAAAGAUUGGCCUCAGUGUCCUGUGGGAGUCUCAUAAAGAGGGAACUAAGAGAGCUCUGUCUCUGGAAACACACAGGGAUCUGUGAGAGAAAUGGACUGGUGACAGUGAUGCUACAUCACCUCUUCUGAACGCAGGGGCUCAGUUCCAGGUUUGGCAGCUCUAGGAUGAACCAGUGGAGUUUCCUUGACUUCAGUGGGGAUCGAUUCUGUUUGGAGCCUGUAGCAACUGAUGACCAGGGGAGCCCAAGAUCCACCCAUCACAUGGCAACAGGAAGCUUUGCAUGAUGCCUGGCAGCGCAUCCCUCCAAAAGGAAGUGGGAAGAUUAAAG